UAAGACGUUAUGAUAAUGAUAAAUCUAUAAAUACAAUGUAAUUUUUUUUGGCGAGGGAAUCUCAAAUGGCACCUUUCGGAUAAGGCUGACUUCGCCAGUGGUCGGAUGGGGAUUCUCCAUCCCAUACAUUUAUUUUUUGUUAUAAGCUUCCUCUAUAAAUAGGUUUAUUUGAGGACCUUAUUUAUAUAUAUAAACCAAAUAAGAACAUCAUAUUAUAUAGCUAUCUAUGCAGUAUAAGAGAAUCAGUUUAUGGUACUCCGUACUGAUAAGGUUGAAGCUAGAAACCUAGUUUGAAAUGUUGGAUGUUUUGUGGGCUAUUGUUCAAAUUCUUAAUCCAUUAUGAAACGGUAGCUUGAAGAAAUUGGUGCCAUAUCCAACAUUAAUAUGAGAUACCUUAAGUAUAUUUGAUAACAUUCAUAUUAAUAUUACUUUUUUCUUGGGUUUAAUUAUCAAUAUUACUUGAAAAGAGGCUUUCCACUCGCUAA
Long non-coding RNA from Capsicum annuum, 485 nucleotides. RefSeq lists it as uncharacterized. The transcript has 2 exons. Lineage: Eukaryota; Viridiplantae; Streptophyta; Magnoliopsida; Solanales; Solanaceae. The record is from RefSeq and is a predicted model, not a curated record.